CGGUUGAUCCUGCCGGAGGUCACUGCUAUUGGGAUUCGACUAAGCCAUGCGAGUCGAGAGGGUUCGGCCCUCGGCUGACGGCUCAGUAACACGUGGAUAAUCUGCCNUUAGGUGGAGGAUAAUCUCGGGAAACUGAGGAUAAUACUCCAUAGAUCUAGGAUGCUGGAAUGCAUCUAGAUUGAAAGCUCCGGCGCCUAAGGAUGAGUCUGCGGACUAUCAGGUUGUAGUCAGGGUAAAGACCUGACUAGCCUACGACGGAUACGGGUUGUGAGAGCAAUAACCCGGAGACGAUAUCUGAGACACGAUAUCGGGCCCUACGGGGCGCAGCAGGCGCGAAAACUUCACACUGUGCGAAAGCGCGAUGAGGGAAUCCCAAGUGUUUGCUCGUAAGAGUAAACUGUUUCUUUGUUUAAAACGCAGAGAGAGUAAGGGCUGGGUAAGACGGGUGCCAGCCGCCGCGGUAAUACCUGCAGCUCGAGUGGUGAUCAUUAUUAUUGGGCCUAAAACGUCCGUAGCCGGUUUAGUAAAUGCCUGGGUAAAUCGUGUAGCUUAACUAUACGACUUCCGGGUAGACUGCUAAACUUGAGACCGGGAGAGGCUAGAGGUACUCCUGGGGUAGAGGUGAAAUUCUGUAAUCCUAGGGGGACCACCAGUGGCGAAGGCGUCUAGCUAGAACGGGUCUGACGGUGAGGGACGAAGCCCUGGGGCACAAACCGGAUUAGAUACCCGGGUAGUCCAGGGUGUAAACGCUGCUUGCUUGAUGUUAGUUGGGCUCCGAGCCCAACUAGUGUCGGAGAGAAGUUGUUAAGCAAGCUGCCUGGGAAGUACGGUCGCAAGGCUGAAACUUAAAGGAAUUGGCGGGGGAGCAC
RNAcentral lists this ribosomal RNA (869 nucleotides) under uncultured archaeon. RNAcentral describes it as "bacterial SSU rRNA". It matches the Rfam family "Archaeal small subunit ribosomal RNA", at positions 5 to 879 of the family's 1478-position model. The record is from RNAcentral.